Lemur catta (Ring-tailed lemur) is the source of this 2715-nucleotide long non-coding RNA. RefSeq lists it as uncharacterized. NCBI's taxonomy places the organism in Eukaryota, Metazoa, Chordata, Mammalia, Primates, Lemuridae. The record is from RefSeq and is a predicted model, not a curated record. The transcript is spliced from 3 exons.
UUGGAUCAGCAGCUCUAGUUCAUGCCUCUAAGCACCAGGUGCAAAUUGGCGAUCUUGCCCACACUCCUGGCUGUUCUGGUUAAUUCACUAAAAUCCAGCAGUUCAGUUUUAAAGGUCACCAGAGCCCGAGGUGGGUGGCGAGCAGCAGGGAAGGCCAGCUUCCACCUGGCAGAGGACGGAGCUACAUCGUUCUCGGAGUCUCCCAGGACGGACUGUCCUUGGGUCUCCAGACUGUCUGGUCCACUCUUUCACUUCUUGGUCGCCAAGGAGCUCACCUCAUGUUCAGAGAACAUUCCUUUUGACCUUUUUAUUGUCUUCAGAGAGUUGACCCCACUCCCUAGUCCGCCAAUUGCCACAGCAGAGCUGCUGCCACCGCCACGUUCCACCCAGCUGGAUGUGCUGCAAGGUGCUGUCUCACCUGGGUCACCAGCACAGCCCUGGCUCUGAGCCCUGCAGUCUGGCCUCCUUUCUCCAGUCACCAGAGGGAUCUUUCUAAAGAAGGAAGUUCGAUGCAUCUGAGGGAGGCACUAAAGCCACGUUGACUGCUGGGUCCUGGGCAGAGUAAACACCGCCGACAGGUGAUGGCUGUGACAGGAAAAACCCACACACGGACCUGCAAACACGUCUCAGGAACAGCUGUCUUGCUAGGGACAAGCUUACGCUAAAGGAUGAUGCCAGUAUUGGAUGCAACGUUCUGCCAUGCAUCAGUGGUGAGUUUUUAACAAAAAAGCAAAAUACUCACCAUCACUGCAAAGGUAAAAUCAAAGUCGACCAAGCCACAUCAUUUCCCUUCUACUUGGUUUUGAAAUUCAACUUCCCCUCGAUUUAAAAACGACGUAUCUAAACCAGUCUUCCUUUGCAGAGGCAGGUGACGAAAUGCAGCAAGCCAUUCUGUGGCUUCAGCAGAGAACGUAAACGCUUCCGAGCAGCUGGCACCCAGGGAGCCGCUGGAGACGAGGACACAACCCUGCCACUCCAUGUGUCCCGGGCUGGCAGCAACUGCACAACCUGGGGGAUCCCCAGGAAUGCAGAACCGUGAGCCCCACUCCAGCCCCAAGUCAGAAUCCACAUCUUACCGCGCUCCCUGGGUGACUGGCAUGCACACUGAGGCUUAAGCACUGUUCUAUUUUUCAUUUUUCUGGUCCUUGAUUCUAGCUUGGUCUUUUCUGGCUGCUUAGCACAAAGUGAAAGCCUGCCUGGGAGGAAGGAGACUUGUGUUCUGAUCUCAGACUUCCACUGAGUAUCUGCUUUGGUUCCACCAUUUACAUACACUAGCCCAGCCGAGUCUCAGGACUACUGCAGGACCAAAUGGGAUCCUUGCUAACAAGGGCCUAAGUGACCUUACUCUGCACCACUAGCCACACUGACUGCAGGCAGAGCUUGCUUCUGCCUCAGGGUCUUUGCACAAGCUGUCUUCACUGCCUGGAAUGCCCUUUUGAUCUCUGCAUGUCCUCCCUGUUACUCAGAUCUCAGUCUAAAUGUUCUCUCUCCAGCGAGGCCCUCCCAGACCCCCAGUCCAGUCUCUCUGGUAAGUCACUGAUGUGGUUUGGAUGUUUGACCCCUCCAAUCUCAUGCUGAAAUCUGAUCCCUGUGUUGGAGGUAGGGCCUGGUGGGAGGUGUUUGGGUCAUGGGGGCGGAUCCCUCAUGAAUGGCUUGGUGCCCUCCCCACCAUAAGGAGUGAGUUCUCACUUUACUGGUUCACUGGACAGCUGGUUGUUCAAAGGAGCCUGGCACCCCGCCUCCCUUUUUGCUUCUCUCACCAUGUGCGAGGUCUGCUCCUCCUUCACCUCCACCUUCCGCCCGGAUGGGAAGGUCCCCGAAGCCCUCACCAGCAGACGCCGGCAAGAUGCUUCUUCCACAAGGCUUCUUGUACAACCUGCAGAACCCUGAGCUGAACAAACCUCUUUAUAGAUUACCCAGCCUCAGGGAUUUUCUUUAUAAAGCAAAAUGAACUAACGAAGUCUCCCUGUUCUAAUCUUCUGCAAAGCACUUUUCAUUCUACCAGAGUGGGGACAGUGACUGUCCUGCUCUCAGCGCAGCCCCGCUGCCUGGCACUGUGCCCGGCGCACUGACGCUCACACGCAGCUGUUUAAUGAGCAGCCAAGGAGGGCAAAGACUCGGAAAAAGCAGGCGCUGCACGAGUACCAGAUCCUUCUGCCAACGCAUAAAGCCUUCCUUGCUUUCACCUGGUGAUUUCCCUUGGAAAGCAGCAACGUUAUACCGACCACGCCCACAGCCCGGAUCUUGUAAAUGAAAAUCUGCUGACUGCUCCUCAAGCAAGGAACGAUGGACUGCAGCUGCUUUCCCUCAUGCUGCAAGGAAUGAGGACUCAGUCACUGUCUGCAUGUCUCAGGUCCCACAGUAGAUCCCCGCCAGCCAUUUCCCUUGGAAAAGCGAAGGGCUUAGAAGGGAAAAGCGGCUUGAGGUCACAACACGGAAGCCACAUCGCCCAGGGACGGCCAGAUGGCCUGGAGGCUGGCUUGGCGAAGCUGCCCGGAGGCAGGAGCACUGCAGGUAAACAGCGGGGAGAACAUAGGUCAUUAGACUACACGCUGAGAACUGCCCAGAAGUGCCUUCUGCCACCAAACCCAAUUUAAUAAUGGUUUAUUGGUUUAGUUGUGAUUUUCGGUUAAGCAUGACAGAAAUUGGUUUUAAGUCCAAUAUUAGAGGAUCCCAAAGGUUAGUUCACACAAUCUAAUGAUGUAUUACAGACGA